CCUAACACAUGCAAGUCGAGCGGUAACAGAAAGAAAGCUUGCUUUCUUUGCUGACGAGCGGCGGACGGGUGAGUAAUGCCUGGGAAUAUGCCUUAGUGUGGGGGAUAACUAUUGGAAACGAUAGCUAAUACCGCAUAACGUCCUUGUUCAUUACGAGCGGGACCAAAGAGGGGGACCUUCGGGCCUCUCGCGCUAAGAUUAGCCCAGGUGGGAUUAGCUAGUUGGUGAGGUAAAGGCUCACCAAGGCAACGAUCCCUAGCUGGUCUGAGAGGAUGAUCAGCCACACUGGAACUGAGACACGGUCCAGACUCCUACGGGAGGCAGCAGUGGGGAAUAUUGCACAAUGGGGGAAACCCUGAUGCAGCCAUGCCGCGUGUAUGAAGAAGGCCUUCGGGUUGUAAAGUACUUUCAGUCGUGAGGAAGGCAUUGUAGUUAAUAGCUGCAGUGCUUGACGUUAGCGACAGAAGAAGCACCGGCUAACUCCGUG
This 487-nucleotide ribosomal RNA is filed under the name uncultured bacterium. RNAcentral describes it as "bacterial SSU rRNA". It matches the Rfam family "Bacterial small subunit ribosomal RNA", at positions 47 to 507 of the family's 1533-position model. The record is from RNAcentral.